This 669-nucleotide long non-coding RNA is filed under the name Ananas comosus (pineapple). Its description in RNAcentral is "long non-coding RNA (ACOM_LNC031252)". The record is from RNAcentral. Lineage: Eukaryota; Viridiplantae; Streptophyta; Magnoliopsida; Poales; Bromeliaceae.
AAUUAAUAUAUAUAUGAGUCAGACUAUUAUACUUUUAGACUGUAUUUUGUUCGGAUAUAAAAUAAAAAUAUUUUUGGGAUAUGUAUAAGUUCAAAUAUAAGUAGGAACUAGAUCAAUUUUGCGUUUAGAUAAAAUUUGGGUUGUUUCUAGAAAUAAGGUAAAUAGUAUUUUGAUGGUUAAAUUGAAACAAUAGGAAUAAAAAUUAUAUUUUUAAAUCAAAAUUAUUUUAUCUAAUUAAUUAAUAUUAAAAUAUUACUUAAAAAUACAUGAAUAAAUUAAUAAAUUUAUUAGCUAUGAAUAUUGUAUAAGAUAAUAAAAAUAUAUUAAUUAAUUAAUUAAUUAAUUAAUUAUAAAAUAUAAUUUAACUUUUUAAUUAGUUAGUAAAUUACUUUAGCUAGAUUACUAGUAAAAAAAUUAAUUAGAUUAAUAGAAAUAUUAAUUGUUGGUCAAUAUAAAUAUUAGUUUAUAGAUAAAUACAUUAUAUUAUUAAUAAUUAAUUUUAAAUAAUAAAUUAAUUAAUUAAUUAUUUUUUAUUAUUUAAGUAAUAAAUAAUAAUUAAAAUAUAUUAAUUAGAUUAAUUAAUAAUUUAAUAUCAUUAUUAAAAUUAAAUUUAGAUUUUAAUUAAUUUUGUUCCCAAGGAACAAGCUUAUUUGAAGAAAAAGGUGGAUU